RNAcentral lists this ribosomal RNA (253 nucleotides) under uncultured bacterium. Its description in RNAcentral is "partial 16S ribosomal RNA". It matches the Rfam family "Bacterial small subunit ribosomal RNA", at positions 524 to 776 of the family's 1533-position model. The record is from RNAcentral.
UACGUAGGGGGCAAGCGUUGUCCGGAUUUAUUGGGCGUAAAGAGCGUGUAGGCGGCCAGAUAGGUCCGUUGUGAAAACUGGAGGCUUAACCUCCAGCUGUCGAUGGAAACCAUCUGGCUAGAGUCCGGAAGAGGAGAGUGGAAUUCCCGGUGUAGCGGUGAAAUGCGCAGAUAUCGGGAAGAACACCCGUGGCGAAGGCGGCUCUCUGGGACGGUACUGACGCUGAGACGCGAAAGCGUGGGGAGCGAACAGG